UGAAUAUCCUCAAGAGGUUGAUUUAUCAGCACAAAUUGGGCGUUUCUACCAGUAUUUAAAAGUAUCCAACUAUAUCUUACAUAGAGAGUGUAUAUCAUGAGUCCAACCUUUUUAAAACGUGUUUAUUCUGUUUCUACUGUCAAAAGAGAAGAGUUGCUGUUAAAAGAUGUACGUGUGAUUGAUAAAUAUAGCUCGGACAAAGAUGCAAAUGAUAACUUGGACAAAGAUGAAAUUGUGUUUCUGUUUGUUAACUGUUUUGAUAUGUACUUCACUAAACGAUUGCUAGGAAGAUACGAUGAACUGCUAUCGAUGAUCGAACAGGAAAUAAAAAAACUAGGCACACCGGUUGAUGUUGUAAUACUUUAUG
Molecule: long non-coding RNA, 367 nt
Organism: Halichondria panicea
Lineage: Eukaryota; Metazoa; Porifera; Demospongiae; Suberitida; Halichondriidae
Exons: 2
Source: RefSeq, a predicted model, not a curated record